Molecule: ribosomal RNA, 501 nt
Filed under: uncultured bacterium
Lineage: Bacteria
Description: partial 16S ribosomal RNA
Rfam family: Bacterial small subunit ribosomal RNA
Source: RNAcentral
AUUGAACGCUGGCGGCAGGCUUAACACAUGCAAGUCAAGCGGGGAAGGGUAGCUUGCUACCUGACCAAGCGGCGGACGGGUGAGUAAUGCUUAGGAAUCUGCCUAUUAGUGGGGGACAACAUUCCGAAAGGAAUGCUAAUACCGCAUACGCCCUACGGGGGAAAGCAGGGGAUCUUCGGACCUUGCGCUAAUAGAUGAGCCUAAGUCAGAUUAGCUAGUUGGUGGGGUAAAGGCCUACCAAGGCGACGAUCUGUAGCGGGUCUGAGAGGAUGAUCCGCCACACUGGGACUGAGACACGGCCCAGACUCCUACGGGAGGCAGCAGUGGGGAAUAUUGGACAAUGGGCGAAAGCCUGAUCCAGCCAUGCCGCGUGUGUGAAGAAGGCCUUUUGGUUGUAAAGCACUUUAAGCGAGGAGGAGGCUACCGAGAUUAAUACUCUUGGAUAGUGGACGUUACUCGCAGAAUAAGCACCGGCUAACUCUGUGCCAGCCGCCGCCGUAA